UACGGAGGGUGCGAGCGUUGUUCGGAAUCACUGGGCGUAAAGCGCGUGUAGGCGGCUAAGCAAGUCGGGCGUGAAAUCCCAUGGCUCAACCAUGGAAGUGCACCCGAAACUGCAUAGCUAGAGUCCUGGAGAGGAAGGUGGAAUGCUUGGUGUAGAGGUGAAAUUCGUAGAUAUCAAGCGGAACACCGGUGGCGAAGGCGGCCUUCUGGACAGUGACUGACGCUGAGACGCGAAAGCGUGGGGAGCAAACAGG
This 253-nucleotide ribosomal RNA is filed under the name uncultured bacterium. RNAcentral describes it as "partial 16S ribosomal RNA". It matches the Rfam family "Bacterial small subunit ribosomal RNA", at positions 524 to 776 of the family's 1533-position model. The record is from RNAcentral.